Molecule: ribosomal RNA, 440 nt
Filed under: uncultured bacterium
Lineage: Bacteria
Description: partial 16S ribosomal RNA
Rfam family: Bacterial small subunit ribosomal RNA
Source: RNAcentral
CCUACGUGUGGCAGCAGUGGGGAAUAUUGCACAAUGGGGGAAACCCUGAUGCAGCGACGCCGCGUGAGCGAUGAAGUAUUUCGGUAUGUAAAGCUCUAUCAGCAGGGAAGAAAAUGACGGUACCUGACUAAGAAGCCCCGGCUAACUACGUGCCAGCAGCCGCGGUACUACGUAGGGGGCAAGCGUUAUACGGAUUUACUGGGUGUAAAGGGAGCGUAGACGGUUGGGCAAGCCUGAUGUGAAAGCCGGGGGCUCAACCCCGGGACUGCAUUUGAAACUGGGUGACUGGAGUGUCGGAGAGGCAGGCGGAAUUCCUGGUGUAGCGGUGAAAUGCGUAGAUAUUGGGAGGAACACCAGUGGCGAAGGCGGCCUUCUGGACGGUAACUGACGUUGAGGCUCGAAAGCGUGGGGAGCAAACAGGAUUAGAUACCCGUGUAGUC